Non-coding RNA from Pelobates cultripes (western spadefoot toad), 318 nucleotides. The record is from the annotation of a GenBank genome assembly. NCBI's taxonomy places the organism in Eukaryota, Metazoa, Chordata, Amphibia, Anura, Pelobatidae.
CAGGGAGCUAGGAUGGAGGAUUAGGAGGUGUGGAUUUCUAUAUUUAAUCUUAUUUUCCAUUUUGUUAAAUGUAGGCGAUAAGUAAAUGUAGUUCAAAUCUUAGGAAGUGACUGUUCACCAUUUAAGGGUUACAAGUGAUUCAAACCAAACCUCCAUAUCUAGUUCCUUGGUUAGAAAAUGUAAACUGGCAGCCACAUUUAGGGUUUUGUUUGCUAAAUUGCAAAGUUUUAGUUUAAAUAUGCUGCUUUGGAAAACAAAUUCUCCAUCUUGGCUGUAGUCACAGCUUGUGUGUUUUAUUUUGAAGUUUGCCAAAAAAAA